GUAGAUAUAGUUUAACCUAAAGCAUUAGAUUGUGAUUCUAAAGAUGAGAGUUAAAAUCUCUCUAUCCACC
Molecule: transfer RNA, 70 nt
Filed under: Trachinus draco (greater weever)
Lineage: Eukaryota; Metazoa; Chordata; Actinopteri; Perciformes; Trachinidae
Also listed under: 1 other name
Description: tRNA-His
Rfam family: tRNA
About the family: Transfer RNA (tRNA) molecules are approximately 80 nucleotides in length. Their secondary structure includes four short double-helical elements and three loops (D, anti-codon, and T loops). Further hydrogen bonds mediate the characteristic L-shaped molecular structure. tRNAs have two regions of fundamental functional importance: the anti-codon, which is responsible for specific mRNA codon recognition, and the 3' end, to which the tRNAs corresponding amino acid is attached (by aminoacyl-tRNA synthetases). tRNAs cope with the degeneracy of the genetic code in two manners: having more than one tRNA (with a specific anti-codon) for a particular amino acid; and 'wobble' base-pairing, i.e. permitting non-standard base-pairing at the 3rd anti-codon position.
Source: RNAcentral